GUGCCAGCAGCCGCGGUAACACGUAUGGGGCAAGCGUUGUUCGGAAUUACUGGGCGUAAAGGGCGUGUAGGCGGUUCGAAAAGCCCGGCGUGAAAGGUAUCGGCUCAACCGAUAGACUGCGCUGGGAACUGCCGGACUGGAGUCAUGGAGGGGGAGCUGGAAUUCCAGGUGUAGGGGUGAAAUCUGUAGAGAUCUGGAAGAACACCGGUGGCGAAGGCGAGCUUCUGGCCAAUGACUGACGCUGAGGCGCGAAAGCGUGGGGAGCAAACAGGAUUAGAAACCCGCGUAGUCC
This 292-nucleotide ribosomal RNA is filed under the name uncultured bacterium. RNAcentral describes it as "partial 16S ribosomal RNA". It matches the Rfam family "Bacterial small subunit ribosomal RNA", at positions 505 to 796 of the family's 1533-position model. The record is from RNAcentral.